RNAcentral lists this ribosomal RNA (380 nucleotides) under uncultured bacterium. Its description in RNAcentral is "bacterial SSU rRNA". It matches the Rfam family "Bacterial small subunit ribosomal RNA", at positions 494 to 874 of the family's 1533-position model. The record is from RNAcentral.
CUCGCGUGUCGUGUCAGCCGCGCGGUAAUACGAAGGGUGCAAGCGUUACUCGGAAUUACUGGGCGUAAAGCGUGCGUAGGUGGUUAUUUAAGUCCGUUGUGAAAGCCCUGGGCUCAACCUGGGAACUGCAGUGGAUACUGGAUGACUAGAAUGUGGUAGAGGGUAGCGGAAUUCCUGGUGUAGCAGUGAAAUGCGUAGAGAUCAGGAGGAACAUCCAUGGCGAAGGCAGCUACCUAGACCAACAUUGACACUGAGGCACGAAAGCGUGGGGAGCAAACAGGAUUAGAUACCCUGGUAGUCCACGCCCUAAACGAUGCGAACUGGAUGUUGGGUGCAAUUUGGCACGCAGUAUCGAAGCUAACGCGUUAAGUUCGCCGCCU